AAGCUAUCAGCGUCACGAAUUGUCGUGUUCUAUCUAGGUAUUUAACGUUUUCUAAAUAUGGAUCACGAUCUCGAUGCAUUCUACAGUGGUAAUCAAAUUUCUCAACGGUUAAUAACAAUGUCUUUUCCAUGAAAAUUACCAUUAAUCAAUCCCCAGGAACAAAUCACAAAUCGGGGCCUCCCUGUUCUUUUUACAACAGAUAUUUUUAAUUCAUUUUAUUUAGUCCGUUUUAGUAGUAGGUGGAAAAAAAUCCAGCUUGUUUGCAUGAUGUGUUGUUGAAAUAAUAAUAAUAAAAAACAAAAAUUA
Dendroctonus ponderosae (mountain pine beetle) is the source of this 306-nucleotide long non-coding RNA. RefSeq lists it as uncharacterized. NCBI's taxonomy places the organism in Eukaryota, Metazoa, Arthropoda, Insecta, Coleoptera, Curculionidae. The record is from RefSeq and is a predicted model, not a curated record. The transcript has 2 exons.